RNAcentral lists this ribosomal RNA (2784 nucleotides) under Salmonella enterica subsp. enterica serovar Hillingdon. RNAcentral's name for it is "bacterial LSU rRNA". It matches the Rfam family "Bacterial large subunit ribosomal RNA". The record is from RNAcentral. Lineage: Bacteria; Pseudomonadati; Pseudomonadota; Gammaproteobacteria; Enterobacterales; Enterobacteriaceae.
AGCGUACACGGUGGAUGCCCUGGCAGUCAGAGGCGAUGAAGGGCGUGCUAAUCUGCGAUAAGCGCCGGUAAGGUGAUAUGAACCGUUAUAACCGGCGAUACCCGAAUGGGGAAACCCAGUGUGACUCGUCACACUAUCAUUAACUGAAUCCAUAGGUUAAUGAGGCGAACCGGGGGAACUGAAACAUCUAAGUACCCCGAGGAAAAGAAAUCAACCGAGAUUCCCCCAGUAGCGGCGAGCGAACGGGGAGGAGCCCAGAGCCUGAAUCAGCAUGUGUGUUAGUGGAAGCGUCUGGAAAGGCGCGCGAUACAGGGUGACAGCCCCGUACACAAAAGCGCAUGUGCUGUGAGCUCGAUGAGUAGGGCGGGACACGUGGUAUCCUGUCUGAAUAUGGGGGGACCAUCCUCCAAGGCUAAAUACUCCUGACUGACCGAUAGUGAACCAGUACCGUGAGGGAAAGGCGAAAAGAACCCCGGCGAGGGGAGUGAAAAAGAACCUGAAACCGUGUACGUACAAGCAGUGGGAGCACAGGUUUACCUGUGUGACUGCGUACCUUUUGUAUAAUGGGUCAGCGACUUAUAUUCUGUAGCAAGGUUAACCGAAUAGGGGAGCCGGAGGGAAACCGAGUCUUAAUUGGGCGUUAAGUUGCAGGGUAUAGACCCGAAACCCGGUGAUCUAGCCAUGGGCAGGUUGAAGGUUGGGUAACACUAACUGGAGGACCGAACCGACUAAUGUUGAAAAAUUAGCGGAUGACCUGUGGCUGGGGGUGAAAGGCCAAUCAAACCGGGAGAUAGCUGGUUCUCCCCGAAAGCUAUUUAGGUAGCGCCUCGUGAAUUCAUCUCCGGGGGUAGAGCACUGUUUCGGCUAGGGGGCCAUCCCGGCUUACCAACCCGAUGCAAACUGCGAAUACCGGAGAAUGUUAUCACGGGAGACACACGGCGGGUGCUAACGUCCGUCGUGAAGAGGGAAACAACCCAGACCGCCAGCUAAGGUCCCAAAGUCAUGGUUAAGUGGGAAACGAUGUGGGAAGGCCCAGACAGCCAGGAUGUUGGCUUAGAAGCAGCCAUCAUUUAAAGAAAGCGUAAUAGCUCACUGGUCGAGUCGGCCUGCGCGGAAGAUGUAACGGGGCUAAACCAUGCACCGAAGCUGCGGCAGCGACACUGUGUGUUGUUGGGUAGGGGAGCGUUCUGUAAGCCUGUGAAGGUGGCCUGUGAGGGUUGCUGGAGGUAUCAGAAGUGCGAAUGCUGACAUAAGUAACGAUAAAGCGGGUGAAAAGCCCGCUCGCCGGAAGACCAAGGGUUCCUGUCCAACGUUAAUCGGGGCAGGGUGAGUCGACCCCUAAGGCGAGGCCGAAAGGCGUAGUCGAUGGGAAACGGGUUAAUAUUCCCGUACUUGGUGUUACUGCGAAGGGGGGACGGAGAAGGCUAUGUUGGCCGGGCGACGGUUGUCCCGGUUUAAGCGUGUAGGUGUGUGUUCCAGGUAAAUCCGGUUCACUUUAACACUGAGGCGUGACGACGAGGCACUACGGUGCUGAAGCAACAAAUGCCCUGCUUCCAGGAAAAGCCUCUAAGCAUCAGGUAACAUCAAAUCGUACCCCAAACCGACACAGGUGGUCAGGUAGAGAAUACCAAGGCGCUUGAGAGAACUCGGGUGAAGGAACUAGGCAAAAUGGUGCCGUAACUUCGGGAGAAGGCACGCUGACACGUAGGUGAAGUGAUUUACUCACGGAGCUGAAGUCAGUCGAAGAUACCAGCUGGCUGCAACUGUUUAUUAAAAACACAGCACUGUGCAAACACGAAAGUGGACGUAUACGGUGUGACGCCUGCCCGGUGCCGGAAGGUUAAUUGAUGGGGUCAGCGCAAGCGAAGCUCCUGAUCGAAGCCCCGGUAAACGGCGGCCGUAACUAUAACGGUCCUAAGGUAGCGAAAUUCCUUGUCGGGUAAGUUCCGACCUGCACGAAUGGCGUAAUGAUGGCCAGGCUGUCUCCACCCGAGACUCAGUGAAAUUGAACUCGCUGUGAAGAUGCAGUGUACCCGCGGCAAGACGGAAAGACCCCGUGAACCUUUACUAUAGCUUGACACUGAACAUUGAGCCUUGAUGUGUAGGAUAGGUGGGAGGCUUUGAAGUGUGGACGCCAGUCUGCAUGGAGCCGACCUUGAAAUACCACCCUUUAAUGUUUGAUGUUCUAACGUGGACCCGUGAUCCGGGUUGCGGACAGUGUCUGGUGGGUAGUUUGACUGGGGCGGUCUCCUCCUAAAGAGUAACGGAGGAGCACGAAGGUUGGCUAAUCCUGGUCGGACAUCAGGAGGUUAGUGCAAUGGCAUAAGCCAGCUUGACUGCGAGCGUGACGGCGCGAGCAGGUGCGAAAGCAGGUCAUAGUGAUCCGGUGGUUCUGAAUGGAAGGGCCAUCGCUCAACGGAUAAAAGGUACUCCGGGGAUAACAGGCUGAUACCGCCCAAGAGUUCAUAUCGACGGCGGUGUUUGGCACCUCGAUGUCGGCUCAUCACAUCCUGGGGCUGAAGUAGGUCCCAAGGGUAUGGCUGUUCCUGCCAUCUGGCGUUGCCCGUGUGGUCAUCGGUUCAACGGCGGUGAAAUCCCCUGACGUGGUGAAAGGCUGGUUUGAACGUUUUUGGCGCGCAGGCGCUGGUGCUGGCGCUGGACGUUCGCAUAGACGAACACGGCACCAAGCAGGUGGCGGUUAGCGGCUGGCAGGAAAAUUCCGGUGUCUCGCUGGAACAACUGGUGGAGACCUAUCUCCCCGUCGGCCUGAAACAUGUACUGUGU